Long non-coding RNA from Chrysemys picta bellii (western painted turtle), 7084 nucleotides. RefSeq lists it as uncharacterized. The record is from RefSeq and is a predicted model, not a curated record. Lineage: Eukaryota; Metazoa; Chordata; Testudines; Emydidae.
AGGUCAGGCAGAUUGCCUGGUGUAUUCAAAAGUUUAUGAUCUGAGGAGUAACCUCAGGAUUGACAGGUCACCUUUGGGAAUGAGAUGAUGCCUUAGAGCAGUGCACAUUUUAUGCUUUUAGCACCUGAGUGGGGAAAUCGGAGGCUUCAAAGCACAUUGCUGUUUUGUGUCCCCUAGCUACUGCUAAUGUGCAAUUUAGGAAGAGUGGGUCAGAAUCCUUAAUUUGGUGUAUAUCAUCAUAGCUCCAUUGACAUCAAGGGAGCUACCCAGAUUUACAGCGACUGAGGUUCUGGCCUGGAUUGUAUGACCUGCUUGCCAUAAGGUUUCUCGAGACUGAGUGCAUUGCAGAGAUGACACAUUUGAUUUCUGUAUGGAAGGAAAGAAGUGACUGUUGUAGCCAGUGGCAAUCCCUGUUGGCUUGAGAUUUGAGGAGUGAAGUGACUCGCGUUCUCCAGAACAGUUCAAAGGAGAAGGCAAAGUAAGACUUUUCCCUGCUCAGAACACAAUGGUCAGAUGUUAACAAACCAGCUCAAAGUCACUAUUUGGAGUAAUUAUUUCUGCUAUCGUUUCCUGUCAAUUGUGGAAUAAUUUAUAUGUGAAUACAUUAUUUCAUUAUUCAACCAAAUCUAGUUACCGUCAAGUUUCUGGUCUUCUCUCUCUUGCAAAUACCCAUCAGGGAGUGGAGAGAAGGGAUGAUACUGUCAGAGCCCUCUUGUGUUUUGCCAGAAUAAUUUCAUUGGGGGAAUCAGUCAAUACCACAGAUAGAACUGUGGGGGAACUGGAAUUUCUACAUUUCCUUUCAUGUCAGAUCAGAACAAAACGGUAGAAUUAUUAAAUUUUCUGCUAAUCCAAUUUAAAAAACAAAUUCCGGUCAAUCAAAAUACAUUUCAAACAAAAGUCAUUAUGAAACAAAAAAUCAAAACAUUCCAGUAAGUUGACCUAAACAAAAUGCUUCGUUUCAAUUCCACCCCCGCCAAAAAAAAAAAAUGUUGCCAAAAUCAACACAUUCCCACAAAAAGUUUCUAUUUUGAUGAAUCAGCAUUUUCCAAUGGAAAAAUGUUCUGUCAGAAAAAGUUUGAUCAGCUGUAACCAUGGCUCAGAGAGGUAUUGUGUGUCUGCACUGACUCCAGGACCCUGACAGCAAAGUUCCAUUGCAGCUCUACUGCCAUGGCUUCCCUCACAUGCUAUAGGUACUACCUCAACCUCUCCCCCUAGCCUGCCUUCAGAGGGAUUUCCACAGCACAGAGCGACCAUGGAAGAGUUAGUGCUUCUCAACUUGUAUUUACCCUCUACUGGCUUUUCUGCCAGCAGUAGGGUGACCAGACAGCAAGUGUGAAAAAUUGGGACAGAGGGUGGUAGGUAAUAGGAGCCUAUAUAAGAAAAAGACCCCAAAAUUGGGACUGUCCCUAUAAAAUCGGGACAUCUGGUCACCCUAGCCAGCAGGGCAAGGGGAUAGGGGUAAUGCAUGUUUUCUUGGCCGCACCUCAGCCUUCCCAUUGCUGUUCUUAUCAUGCACAUUCUCCAGCUCUGGGAAAGCAUGGAAUGUGUUACACUUUAUAUGACGGUUCUGUUGAUAAAUAGUUCAUGAACACUUUAAUAGCUGAUUAAUGGGUGUGUUAAUAAAUGGUUAAUAGAUGGUUAUAGAGUCCAGCAGGUCAAUGGAUUGCUUGUAGUCGUGGGUUAUAGUCGUCCAGAACACCUUCUGCUGAUGUGCUUAAACUAUUCUAUUACACAUACUACCCUGGUCUGUAACAUGCUUAUGAUAUCUAUCAAUCAUGUAUUAACCCUUUCUAAACCUUUCAUAAAUGGACUCUUAAAAGUGUGACCAUUAGAUCAAUAGGGCUGCUCUUCUAUCAAAGGCAUAAUUACCUAAUUACCAUCAUCUGAGCACCUCUUUACAACUCCCCUGCGAGGUAGAGCAGUGCUGUUAUCCCCAUUUCGCAGGUGGGGAUCUGAGGCACAGCAAGACUAAAUGACUUGCCCAAAGUCACACAGGAAGUCUGUGGAGGAGCAGGGAAAUAAACCUGGCUCUCCUGAAUCUCUGGUUAGCAACCUAACACUUGGACCACCCUUCUUCUUGCAGCCUACAGAAUGUAAUGGCAUUUGAAUAAUAUCUGUAGUGGGCAAUAAAGAGUAUCCUUUCUGUACGUUUUAUGAGCCAUCCUUUGGAAUUCUGUACUGAAUUCUAUAGGGUGGUUUAAAAACCUAUAGCGAGGUCAUUCUUUUUCCUUGGAAGUAAUUCUAUAAGAUGUUUCUCUAGGUGAGGCAGAGACAGUGCAGGGAGGUGGUGACCUUCUACUCUCCUCCCAUUUAUCUGUUCCCAAAAGCCCAAGAUGACCACCCAGGGUGGCCUGUUCACAUCUUAUUCCAAUGCGGCUCACAUUUUGGCUUUAGCUUGUUAGCUCACCCAGCCCGCACGUGUGAGCGCUGUGCGUCCCCUCAAGAAGAUUUUUACAAGCCCUGGUACAAAUCAGCCAAGGGACUGAGCAUGCCUCAGAGUGACAGGAGGAAAUACACAAUGUACUCAAAACCCCUAAGUAAGCUGCGGCUACAUUGAAAUGAACUUAAUGGUUGCUUUUGGUAUUGCUAGCACACACCGCAGGGAGAGCAAAUGCUAAAGAGCUGCUUCCUGCACUAAAACAUGAAACCGCAAAAGAUCUCAUUUUACUAACCUUCCCUGAGCCACGCACACCCAGAAAAAUAAAUUAAAAGGGUAAAUAAGGGUUUAUAAUGAUUUAUUUGGAGGGGGAAACCAUCCCCUGAUUUACAGUAUUGAUAUGUAUUAACUAUAUUUAGGAUCAAAUCUUCCUAGGUACCUAUGAUCACUAUAGUAUGGGAGCUAUUCAGUCAUUAAUGCAUGUUUAUCUUCGUAACUCUUUUCUGUGGGAGGGAAGUAUCAGCCCCUUUUUACAGAUGGGAACCUGAGGUAUAGGGCAGAUUAAGUGAUUUCCCCAAGUCAGACAUGAAGUAAGUGGCAGAGUAGGGAACUGGACCCAGGUCUCCUGAGUCCUAGACCCAUGCCCUAUCCACUAGAUCACUCUUCUCUCCUGAUCCCACCAGUGGUUUCAGCGGGGUGAGAAUUAGACCACUGACAUUCCCCUGGCACUUUAUAUGUUCAAAGCAUGGUGUAAUGGUUACAUAAUUAAUCUGUUUUGAUUAUUUCCUUUGUUUCUAAGUCUUUUCCAUGUGAUCGCACCCCUACUCCCCAUUCUCCCAGGUGGAAGCAUUAGUAUUGCUGAUCUCCAGGGUAGUCAGCCCCAGAAUACAUGUAGCAACAAGUGGAGAACAUCCUUCGACAUUUCACCUGUUCCCUACACUGUUGACACAUUUCAUUUCCACUCCUGGAAAAGUGAUGCUUGUGAAAAUGGCCUCUCGUCAUGAUAACAUCUACACAAUUAGAUGGAGUCUUGCAGCCUAUCCAUUCAGUUCUAUCAGUCAAUCACUCAACCGUGUCCUGAGUCAGACUGAUACAUCUAGCAAUCAUGGGGGAUCACAAGCCUCUCCCCCUCCCCGUCCCCUCUCUCUGGGACUGUCCCAGCCCGGGCUGUUCCUCCUUCCAUGGACAGCCUGAAUGAAAGCGAUGCUGCCCAAUGGAAUAUGAGUGUGCAACUCAGCCAGUUAAUGGGAGCUGGAAGUUGCCAGUUCUGGGUUUAGAGGGAAGGGAGCUGAAACUGCAGGGGAAAGAUGAGUAAGUCUGGGGUGGGGAGGUCCUGACCUGUGCCCCCAUUCCAGGGGGCCCCUCCCCAUGACCCCAGGUCCCAUACCCCAUGUAGGGCCCCCCAGGGGACUCCUCCCUGUGCUCCCAGGUCCCAGCCCCCCUCUAUGGUACCCCCAGAUCCCAGAGGUCCCUGUCUGUGACCCCAAUUCCCAGCCCCUCAUUUCCCAGGGAACCCCUCCCUGUGCCCCCAGAUCCUAGCCUCCCAGUUCUCAGGAUCCCCCAUUCUUUCUAGUUUUCAGGGUGUUUCCCCAGGCCUUUGACAUCCCCCUCCCCCAUGCCACAUUCUGACCCCCAAGUUCCUCAUGCUCCCCAACCCUCAGGGGCUCCUCCUUUUUCUUGCUUAUCCCAAAGGGAGGUGUCAGUGCAGGGGGGUGAGGAUAUUUCAGGCGUGAACCUUCCACUAUCACAACCCAUCUUAGCUACCUCCAGUGCAGUGGAGCAUUUGCAUUUUAAAUCCCCCACCCCUCAAUAACCCUUUCCCAAGGACAGGGAAGGGGCACUUGAAUAUUGGGGAUGCUCAAUAUUGGGGAGUAGGGAGAGAUCUGCCCUUCUGGAUCCUUCAUGUCACUACCCCCUCUGCAUCCCCACACCAGUGAGUCUCGUAUCAGUACUCCUCUGGUUCCCCCCACCCUUUCUGGGACUCUCCGCUCACCAUGCUCCCCUGACACCAAAGCCCUCUGGUGCCCUCCUGACACUACGGCUCCCCUUGGGUUGCUGACCCAUUGUGGAGAGCCCAGGGAGACAGCAGGGGGCAGGGGCACCAACAUACACCCAGGGUGCUGUUUUCCCUAAGGCCAUCCCUGAUUUUGUGAUUAAGUGACCAUUUAUCACGUUUGUAAGUGGCAAGAUAAACUGGAGUGUAUAAGGGGACUGUCACUUGACUCCAUUAUAAGACGAUUGUAUUAUUAUGGGAGUUCACUUUGGUGCUGGGUUGGGGUGACUGCCCUGAAAUAGACACUCGUGGUGGUGAGCCGCACCAGACAGCGUGACAGUAAACAUACUUGACCAGGGACCAUCAAAACAACUAGCCUUCAGUGGAGGAGAGAAGUGGAAUAGCGUUGACUGUCCCCGCAUGGAAGAACCAGGGUGAGGAUUUUUUUUGCAGCAAGCAGUAAGAUUUGAGGCAUUUGUGCUCUGAGGGAAAGCUGUGGUGCUGGCAAGCACGGCUGUUGAUGCCAGACGUGGUUUUAGGAUAUGGUUAGAUCUCCCUCUGCUUAUCCACUAGCACUUGGAGAACAGCGUUGGGGUGUGAGCGAGUGGGGGCACAUGUUGUGCAUAGUCAAAGGAACUUGCAAUUUCUUCCAAAUAAAUCUAGAGUCAACCUCCCUUUGCCUUCUGCAGCCACCAGUCAGGCAUUACACUUCCAAUGAGGAUCUAGGUCUCAAGCCCAAAUCUAGCCUAAAGGGUUUGUUUUUCUGUGCAACCGUAUGAUGAAUUGUAUGAACAUUAUAUAUAUAUUUGCACCACUAUAGCUAAUAACCUUGCAUUAGCAUUUCCACUGAAGUCAGCAGUUCAGUGGUAUAUUUUUACAUUAAUCAAGUAAAUAUAUGCUGGGUCUUUCUGUACCACCUGCUGCACUAGUGUGAGCUGAGGAGUGGCUGGUGGGCUACGUGGGAUCAAAAUAUACUCUCCUUGGAGAAGAAAUAUCUGGUCAUUUGUGCUAUAAUGUAAUAAAAAUACUCUGAAUGGCAAAGCAGCUAAGGAGACAAAUCAGAGAGUAAUCACAGCACAAUUAGCGCAUGUUCAGGUACAAAAGGACCUUCUGAGCUUUCCCCCUCAGACAUAACCCUAUUCUCUCUGUGCUGAGUAGCAACUCAUGCUGACUACAGCUGGUAGGAUUGUCCACCAAGUCCCAGUGCAGAAUGGGAUUCAAAGUUACAAUGAAGUCAAAACAGACUUUCCAGUUUCCACACCGGAGGUAUGGGUAUAGACAGAAAGAAAUUGCACUUAUCAAUGCAAAUCUCUGAAGCAUUUCCAGCGGUGAUGAUUAUUAUAAGGCCAAACCCAAUGAACUCUAUUUAACCCCAUUAUAGUUAUUGUAAAAACCUCUGCAAACACGGACCACAAUCUCCCCUUGAGCAGGAUGGAAAGCCUGACAAUCACAGCAAUAUAGCAUGCUGGGGAGGGGGGCUGGGGGCUACAACCAGGGUUUCCCUAUCUCACUACCCUCCAUACAAUGAAACUGAACCAAUUCUUCUUCUAGGCCUAAUGUGCCCAGGUGGGGAAGGAAUGAGGGAAUAGCUUUUACCUCCUUGUGUGAUUAAACUAAGCUAUCUACAAUUUAGUUAGGAGCUACACUUUCUUCCUUUCAUGCUGGGUAACCUGAAUGUGUUCCUUCCCCAUUGUUAAAUCUCUGGAAAUCCUGUGAAUAUUAUGGAAUAUAUUACUGGCAAAUUGCCAAUAAGGAUCUUAUCCUCGUAUUGCCGUAAGAAGUUUUCAGUUUCAACAAGCCAUUUAAAAAGGACUUUUCCCUCUAGGCUCUUUGUUAAUCACUGAAAUUGCUAUAAAUCCAAUUUUAUUGAAUUGAGCAAAUCUAAUGCUUUAUAUUAAAGCUGGGUGGUUUCUUUUAAUACAUAUUGUAUAUGCAGAAGAUAAAAAGACAAUAACAAUGUUUAAAUGAAUUGUAACUCUCCAGAAAACAAAAACAAUCAGAUAUAAAUUUGCAAUUUCAAUUCAGAAUGUUUUUCAACCAGAUCAAACUUGUCUCCUGCCUCUGAAGGGAAAUACAGAAGAACAGCAUUAUUCUGUUUGCAUAGCUCUGAUUGCAGACAGUAGUGUGAAAAGUGGCGCUAACAAUAAUUGCUGAAAUAUUCAGAAAACAGCUUAGUAAGAACUCAUUUGCACUGGGAGAUUGCAUAUUUGACAUCCUUUUAAACUCCAGUGCUGAGGUUACUUGUUUGUAAAUUCUACAUUUUUAGAUAUUAAGUAAAAAGGGGACCCGUUUGUGAUGAACCCCUUAGUGAGUCCAACUCUCCAUAAACUCCCUGACAGACAUAUCAAUGCAAACUGAAAAAUACCCAGAAUCUAUCUGUGUUACUUAUAUGGCUCCAUUAUCAUACUAUCUGAGUGCCUACAAGUGCUAUAGGAAGUGCGGCUACGCCAACGAGACACUACCCCACAUCCUGUGUAGCUGCAAGCCCUAUUCAAGAGCUUGGCAGCUGCGACACAACGCCAUCCAAGGUCGGAGCCAUCCCGCACCCAAUGGGGAAGGUUGCCGUAAACUCCGCUAUCCCCGGAGCCGACAGCCAACUGCAACCGGACAUCGUCAUCACCAACGAGGACCAGAAGAAGAUCAUGAUGGUGGAUGUCACAGUGCCCUUUGAGAACAGCCUGCCAUGAUGCCCAAGCUCGAAAGGUGGAGAAAUA